Molecule: long non-coding RNA, 2255 nt
Filed under: Mus musculus (house mouse)
Lineage: Eukaryota; Metazoa; Chordata; Mammalia; Rodentia; Muridae
Description: RIKEN cDNA 4931415C17 gene
Source: RNAcentral
AGUCCUGGAAACGGGGAUACUGAGAUGGAGAGGCUUGAGCGCUGCCGCAAAGGAAAAAUCAGACGCAGACACGAGAAAUUCUGUGCUGUCUGGGACGCAGGAGGAGGAGAGUCCUCGUCACUGGGAGCCCAGCUCCGCCGCUCCUGCCCGGAUGCUCGGUGGUCCGCAGAAAGCUCCCUUCUUAGUCGCUGACUCAGGACUAUGAUAGCAGUGGCACUCAGAGGUGGCUUAAUGGAGAGCAUACCUUUAUUCGUCUUUUGCUCGCAGAUCUCUUAGCCACCCUUCCCUGCCCGCUCUGUGAUGUACAGAAUGCGGACACACUCACUCCCUGUACAAAUGGUACCUGCUGGAGCUCAGCCAGUUGAAGCCAACGAUAGAAACUGCAAGAGGAGACUCUCGGCUUCAGCCUGGAAUUUGACUACGACUCUAACAAGCCGAGACUCUCAACACUCAGCUCUCAGCCCAUUCUUAGCUCCAGCCUAUUUUGUACCACCCACACAGAUGAUGCUCCAUCAGAAGGUCUAGAAUAAGGCCAUAGUGAAUAACUAUCAGUCAUUCCUGGUGUUUCUUCCACCCCGGGGCCAGUAGCUAACCUUCAGGCUACACCAGAAGAGAGGGAGACUGGCCUGCGCCUUUUGGAACCUAAGGUGUUGCACCUGGGCGCACCCUACCUGAGGAGGUUCAACUAUGCAUCAUUCUGCCUACUUCAUACAGGUGGCUGAGGCUGGAGGCGGAUGCUCGGAGCACUGAUCCAUCCAUUAGCUGGCCUGUGCUGCCCUCUGCCGGCCAGUGGGGUUUAACAGCCACCCUAAGCCGAGAGAGACCUGGAAUUGGAGCCAGCUGACUGCUUUGAGAGAAAACCUGUUAGGAAUGGACUUUUGAGGGCGUUCCCUUUCCUGUGCAAGUGAGUUUUGGUCCUACAGAGGAAGGGUAAAGCUGGGAAAGUGGCUUGUUUUCAUAAAGUCUGUGAGGCGCUUCCACUCAGGUGCCGAAAGGGAGAUCAGGAGGUAGCAGUGUUCCAAGAAGCCCUCUAACCAACGAUUUCCAAUCUUCCCACCGGUGGCAAAACUCCCAGAGGGCACAGUUUCAAGAUUCAGUUUUUCCACCUUUAAAACGGAGACGAAUGUGACCUUGCAGGAUUUUGAGAGGGUGAGGAUUUCUGUAAAGUGCCAGUGAGGUGUGCAAGCCCUGUCCCUGUGUAAGUGUAGCUGCCAAGCCUCAUCAAAGAAGGUUCUCUUUACACCUAACAGAGACCGUCCCAGAAGACAGCUCGAUACAAUGCAAGAUCACCAGAUCCCAACAGAUACAUCUGCAUCACAGCUCCUGCAUCCACGGCCGAGGGAACUUGGAGGAAGUAGGCGUGGGAAGAUUGUAAGAGCCUGUAUACCAAGAAGUCUGCCGUGAGCAUCUCUCCUGGAAAUGGCUGCAUAAACUAGACCGAAGCAGUGGCAUAUCUGAUGGACAUGUUAACGUGGAAGGGAGAGGUUUUCUUGGGGUUCCACCCCUAGACAAAGACCUACAGGCCACUAGUGGCUGCUGGGAGAGAGAGUUAGCUACUCCCAGAGAUGGACCCCUUUAUUUGUUGCACAAUGCAGAGUGGUCAGCCUUGAAACCAUAUACAGCAGCAAAAGGAACAGGCUUAGCAGGUUGUAUUUACAUAUAAUUGUGAAUACACAUACAUACUAAUCUAUAGAUGUAUGUGAAAAUAAUUUUUAAAGAAGGGUACUUAACUUGAGCACUGGGGCUUGAGAGGGACUGGAGGACAGAGAUCUGGCAGGGGCUGGAAGAAAGUGAGGGGAGCGAUGUAAUUCUAUUGUUAAAAUGUAUUUUUUAAGUGCCUGUGAGGGGCUGGAGACAUGGCUCAGCAGUUAAGAAUGCUGAAUUCUCCUGCAGAUGACUAGGUUCAGUUCUGAACACUCGCAUGCCAGCUCACAACCAUCUAUCUGUAACUCCACAUCCAGGGAUCUGACCCUUCUGACUUCAGUGGCUCCCAGAUGCCCAAAGUACACACACAUACACAUACAAAUAGAAUCGGUAUAUAAUUAAGAGUGCCUGCAGACACCUAGAAAUGGCAGCUGUGAAGAAGGACAUGUAAUUUUCACUAAAUGUCAGGAUGAGAAAUUUAUCAAGAUUCUGUUACAGGUUUUCAGGGUCAAAGCCUGGGUGCUGAAAGUCUAAACUUGACUGUUUAUGCACAGUAUGUUUGUGCUGUGCCCUGUAUGUCAAUUAAAGAUACAAGCAAUAAUAAAAAUCAG